Molecule: ribosomal RNA, 2337 nt
Filed under: Triticum aestivum (bread wheat)
Lineage: Eukaryota; Viridiplantae; Streptophyta; Magnoliopsida; Poales; Poaceae
Description: partial small subunit ribosomal RNA
Source: RNAcentral
AUGGCCAUCAUUUACAUGUGGAAGAGCAUGAAAGUAGCUGCCAAUAAAAUAGCAAACAAUAGAAAAUUGGUCUGCUACUUUCAAACUAAAAACAGCAUCCUUAUGUUGCCCGUUGGCGCCGGAGUUGAGGUGUCGGGCGGUCCAGCCACGCACCCACUGGCAAGAUCGACCAGCCGAGAUCCAGGGAGGAGGAGGCUGACGAGCGGAAGGCGCAGAGCGGCAGGUGGCGGAGCAAGGUUAGAGGGAGAGGGUAGCGACAGGGAGGCGCCGGCGUGGGAUGCUUCGUCGCGCCGCCAUGAUGUGGCUGCUGGAUGCAGCCAGCGCUCGGGUCGCAUGGCGGCGGAACAGGGGAUCGAGGUAGUUUUUUUCUGUUUGAAAAGGAAAAAGGAAAAGGAGCACCAGAUCGUGGGAAAGAAGGAGCGAAGGAAACAGAAAAAACUGAUCGAAGGAAAAGGGGAGGAGAUCUCGCACGACGCAACCCACCAGACCCGCGUUAAGUUGGUUGCAUAUUUUUACCUACUUAAGUACCGAAACCACUCCUUGGCGAUCGAUCGCGGCGGCGAUCGAUUCCGACCGCGCGUGGAGCACGUUCUGUUCCCUUUCCCUUUCCUGCUAGUUUCUAUUUUGGGAAAACCCACUCGACCACCGCAUCUUAUCCUAUCCCCUGCGCCUCGCCUCCCUACUCUGCCCUGCCGCUUCCCCUCCUCACCGGCCGCUCCUUCCUCGCGGCAGCCCACUAUCCCCGGCGCCUCGCCUCCCUACUCUGCCCUGCCGCUUCCCCUCCUCGCCGGCGGCUCCUCCCUAGCGGCAGCGACCAAUACGGCGAGACGACGCGGCCCCACGAGUGCCGGCGAGGUCAGCGGUGAAUACGGCGAGGCGCCGCAGCCGCACGAGCCCCCGCGACGUCAACGGCGAAUAGGGCAAGGCGCCGCGGCCGCACGAGCGGCGGCGAGGUCAGCAGUGAAUACGGCGAGGCGCCGCGUCCGCACGGGCGGCAGGGGCCAAGGCGGACCGGCCGCACAGCCGCCGCGAUGUCCAGGGGCGGAAGCGGCCAAUACGGCGAGGCGGUGUUUGUCCGGCGGCCCCCUGCUGACACAGCAGCCUAAGAAUGUCGGAAGUGCAUCGUUCUGUGAUGAUUCUGCCAACAAACAAAGGAAGAACAAGGAAGAAGAGAAUUCUUGUCCUGUUGCAGUGCAGUUGCCAUCUGAAGAAGGCGAUCAAGAGCUGAAGCAACAUGGAGCAUCCCGGCCAUCCUUGAAUUCUCCUGGCAACAGGAGGCACAGGCGCAGAGGUAACAGAAAGAAGGGGGAAGAUGGUUCUGCUUCGAGUCCUAUUGAAGCUCAUGUGCCAUCUAAAAAAACGAAGCAAAACAAGUCAAAUUCUCCUGGCAAUAGAAGGCACAGGCGUCGUGGUAACAGCAAGGAGUUGCAUGAUUCUGCUCUGAGUCCUGAUGAAGCUCAUGUGCCAUCUGAAAAAGGGAAGCAAAAGAAGAAGUGGAAUUCUCUUGGCAACAGAAGGACCAAAAGUCCUGGUAACAGGAAGAAGUCAAAUUCUCCUGGCAACAGAAGGACCAACAGUCCUGGUAACAGGAAGAAGGAAGAAGAUGAUUUAAUUUCUUUGAAAGGACUAAUCCUCAUCAGCAUGAGUAUCGGGGGCCAUCCUCCUUGGAAUUUUGUCACUCUGUUUUUCUUGCUGGUCAAAGUGCGAGUACUGACAGGGGUUUUUGUUCUUAGAUUUGGCCACCGGAGCGGAUUGGUUCGAUUGGUUCAAAGGAGUAGGACACGGCCAGGCCCUGCAUUUGUUGGUGCAUCUUCAUGUCUACCAUUUGAUACUUCACAAUUUUGGUCCUUGCCCCCCGGAAGCCAACCCCGUUCAGCGAAUCUAUGGCAUGAUUCAAUUGGGGGGAUCUUUUUGGAUGAAAUUCUGAACACUAUUCAAAGAAAUAAGCAGCUGGCAUUUGUUCUAGAAUAUACUAAAGCGUGGCCUCCGAACAUUCAGCAAAACAGGGACAUUGUGAAUUUACUAGAUUGCGACAAGUCUACACAGGGAAUAGGCCGAGUUUGCAAUGAGCAGCUUGCAGAGCUACUAUGGCCUGAGUUCUCAAAGAGGAGAUGGCAUGGAUUUAAGUACAUUAAUGUCCUUGUACAGCAAGGGAAGCUCCCAAGUAUGCGUUUGAAUAUGGACACAGACUCAAAGAACGGUGGGAUCUUUAUGUGGUCGGGCUCCAAGUGGACCUUCAACCAUGAGUCCUUCACCUGUCCGUUGCUCGACGGUCUGCCCAAACCUGUGCCGGGUCGUAGGAUGAAAGCUGCUUUUACUAAGUUCUACUCAAUGUAG